AACGAACGCUGGCGGCAUGCCUAACACAUGCAAGUCGAACGGAAAGGCCCUUUCGGGGGUACUCGAGUGGCGAACGGGUGAGUAACACGUGGGUGAUCUGCCCUGCACUUUGGGAUAAGCCUGGGAAACUGGGUCUAAUACCGAAUACACCUUGCUGGUUGCAUGAUUGGUGGGGGAAAGCUUUUGCGGUGUGGGAUGGGCCCGCGGCCUAUCAGCUUGUUGGUGGGGUGAUGGCCUACCAAGGCGACGACGGGUAGCCGGCCUGAGAGGGUGUCCGGCCACACUGGGACUGAGAUACGGCCCAGACUCCUACGGGAGGCAGCAGUGGGGAAUAUUGCACAAUGGGCGCAAGCCUGAUGCAGCGACGCCGCGUGAGGGAUGACGGCCUUCGGGUUGUAAACCUCUUUCAGUAUCGACGAAGCGCAAGUGACGGUAGGUACAGAAGAAGCACCGGCCAACUACGUGCCAGCAGCCGCGGUAAUACGUAGGGUGCGAGCGUUGUCCGGAAUUACUGGGCGUAAAGAGCUCGUAGGUGGUUUGUCGCGUUGUUCGUGAAAACUCACAGCUUAACUGUGGGCGUGCGGGCGAUACGGGCAGACUGGAGUACUGCAGGGGAGACUGGAAUUCCUGGUGUAGCGGUGAAAUGCGCAGAUAUCAGGAGGAACACCGGUGGCGAAGGCGGGUCUCUGGGUAGUAACUGACGCUGAGGAACGAAAGCGUGGGUAGCGAACAGGAUUAGAUACCCUGGUAGUCCACGCUGUAAACGGUGGGUACUAGGUGUGGGUUCCUUUUCACGGGAUCCGCGCCGUAGCUAACGCAUUAAGUACCC
Molecule: ribosomal RNA, 829 nt
Filed under: uncultured bacterium
Lineage: Bacteria
Description: bacterial SSU rRNA
Rfam family: Bacterial small subunit ribosomal RNA
Source: RNAcentral